Molecule: ribosomal RNA, 251 nt
Filed under: uncultured prokaryote
Description: partial 16S ribosomal RNA
Rfam family: Bacterial small subunit ribosomal RNA
Source: RNAcentral
CCGUAGGGGACGAGCGUUAUCCGUCUUUCCUCGGCUUCCCUCUCCCUUCUUUUUCCUUUCCCUUUGGACGUUCCAGCUCCCGGCUUAACUGGGAGAGGUCGUUCAAAACUGGGGGGCUUGAGGUUGGAAGAGGAGAGCGGAAUUCCCGGUGUAGUGGUGGAAUGCGUAGAUAUCGGGAGGAACACCAGUGGCGAAAGCGGCUCUCUGGUUCAAUACUGACACUGAGAUGCGAAAGCGUGGGGAGCGAACGG